GAGCCCUGGCAUCACCUCAUGGCAUGAUCCAAUCAGAUCACACCUCCCAGCAUCACCUCAUAGCAAGACCCAAUCAGAUCAAGUCUUAUUACCCUCUGCCUAUAAAACCUGCCCCACUCCCCAGCUCAGAGACACAGAUUUGACCACUGCCUGCUGUCUCCUUGGCAGUUGAUUCACAUAUAUGAUGUUGACAUAUUCAGACACGCCCACAGGAGAGCUGCCAGGUCCAGGGAAAAGAAAGUGUCUCAUGAGGAAAAGGAAUCUGCUUAACUUCGAGAAAAGAAGACUCAGGGGAUGUGAGGGGGCAGGUUACCUUUGAAACUGUAUGAGAUCCAGCAGUGCUACAAUGGGAAUAAAAUGAAAAGACAUCUUUAAAAGGAAUCAUUCCAGAGAGAUCACAGCCGCAUUCUGUUUGAAAUUCUUAGAAGCAGCAAGUGGAGACCGAGGGGGCACAUUACCAUUCAGAUAGCUUCCAUCUAUUAUUUCUUCCUAAAAGACAAAGAGAUAACAUCAAGUAUAACAUCCAAAAGUUGGCAAUUCCAGUAGAGGGGAUUCUGAUUAAGAGAAAAUAGAAUACUCACCGCCAUUUUUUGCAACAAUGGAUGCAAAUCUGUAAGAAAGCCA
Molecule: non-coding RNA, 624 nt
Organism: Macaca mulatta (Rhesus monkey)
Lineage: Eukaryota; Metazoa; Chordata; Mammalia; Primates; Cercopithecidae
Source: RefSeq, a predicted model, not a curated record